UGUAUGGAUAUGUGGAGUCACGCCACACAUGAGAAUUGCUUAAAAUAAUGGUUCUCAUGUAAUAUUAGUAUUAUAUUGUAUUAUUAGUGUUGUUGUUGUUGUUGUUGUUGUUGUUUUUUGAAGGGUGUGGCCACCAUCCGCACACCUCAACUUUCCUUGUGGAGGUGUUGCUCCAAUCAAAAGUCAAGAGAGCAAAGGGUCAAAAGUUCUUUUAAAAGACAUGAGAUAGGGUUUAGAAUGACUCAUUCCUUUGUAUGAUAUGGCGAGGAAGGUACGUUGUACUUGACCAAUGCUACACCAAUGCUUCAUAAUGUUUGCCUCUUAAUUAGAAUUCCUAUACAUCCAAUAUUUUGGAGACUUUCUUUCCUUAAGAAAUGAUACGAUAAAUUAUGAAUCCACAUGGAAGUUUCCACAUUGUACUUAGGUCAUGUCUUGUAAUACAUGUAUGUAUUAAACCUUGGGUUGAAGCUCUUUUCUUUCUUUCUCAUAUAUAUAUAUAUAUAUAUAUAUUUAUAUUUAACCUAAAACUGUACCAUUUGUUCUUUUAUUGUAUUUUUUAAAAAUUACAAUUAUUUUGUUGAAUUUUUUUGUAAAUAUCAUAUCAAAACACAUUGUAUUCCAACAGCCAUACCCAUAAAAUAAAUGUACUUCAGAAAAAGAAAUUGAACAAUAACAACAACAUUAAUCCCAAGUAAAAAAACAAUAAACAAAAAUUGUAAAACAUAACCUUGCUUAUUGUUGUUGUUGUUGUUUGUCUGUCUGUUUGUUUGUUUGAUGUUUUUUGUUUUGUUUUGUUUUGUUUUUUUUCUGAAUAUGUAUUCGUUUUAGGAUAUGAAAUACCAUCCCAAUGAUAUCCAUUAAAAGUCAUUUUACUCAUUUUGAUUUGAUUUUGAUUUUUUUUACAUAAUUUUUUUUUACAUGUACAUAAACAAUAUGCACACUUCAGUACAAGGCAAAGAAUGCAAACUUCCACAUAAAGAGAAAGUUUUCCAACAAUGGCAUUUUAGUCUUUAUUCCUGUUAUCAUUUCAUUUGAUAAUUAUUUUCUCUACCUUUCCUUUUCAACCGAUCAUGAAUAUUGUUCCAAAUUCUUCAAAGUUUUCAUUGAUUGGUGCAAGCAACGUGAUUGAGAAGUAAUAUAACAACCAUAAAUUACAACCACACAACAAUGUGAAUAUGCUUCAGAUGGAGGUCCCCAUAGUUACAAGUAGGAUAUUUAUUUAUUUAUUUAUCUGAAUGUUAACAUUCUACAUUUGGUUCAUUCUUUCACAAACAUUGUAUGGUUUACCUCUCUCUAAGUAAUUAUGUAUGUAUGUAUGUAUUAAUAUAUAUAUAUAUAUAUAUAUAUCAUAGGAAUAGAUAAGAUGAGAGACAAUAUUCACUAUCCAAGGCAUCACCUUAUUUCCUAUCUUCCUGUUGUUGUCCAUUGAAAGUCUGUCAGUUGCUCUUUCAUCUUUCCAUGAAGAUUUUCAAGUACUUUCUCCCUUUUUGUGCAAAAAAUAAUUAAAUAUACAUAUUUUUCUUGCAUGGUUUUGACGUUGCUUUAACAUGAGCAAAACCCUAAAACCACCAAAAAAUAAUAAAUCAAUCAAUUCAGGUGAUGUGACGAUGUCAAAGAAUAUGAAAUUUUACUCAAUUUACAUGUAUUGGUGGUAUAUUAAGCAUACCCAAUUCACGUGCGAGAUCCAAUCUCCCUCAUAUGUGUAAUCAACUACUCACUUUUGUUUUGUAGGAAACCUCAUAUCGUUGGAAUAUUAUAUCACUUAUUCGUAGUGAUCGAUUGACAGUAUUAAAAAUAGAAAAAAACAAGAAAUUUGUUUGCAACAAUCCAGGAACAAAAUAUAGACACGCUUCUGGUCAUUGUAUAAUUAAACAGAAAAAGUCAUCCACAGAAUAGAAUGAUAAUAUGAAAAAGAACCCAUCUCAUGAAAUCUUAUGAAGAAGAAUAUCCGCAGACAUAUUACAUUCAAGUGUUUCAAUCUUUUUUUGUAUUAACACCAAUUCCACACAACCCCCCCUCUCUCUAAUUAUUAUUAUUAUUAUUAUUAAUUUGUUGUUUAUAAAUAUUAUAUUAUUACUUGACUAUUUCACCUUUUUUAUUUUAUUUUAUUUUUUAAAUCUUUUUCUGCCCCUUAAUGGGUCCACAUUCUUCCUUGCUUUGACAAUCAAAAGAUUGAGGUGGUCAUGUAAAGACUGUUCUUAACCUCUCAUUCCAUGGCAUGAAUAAUGUGUUCCGUUCCUCUGGGUGUGUGUGGAUGGAUGAAUGGAUUAAUCAAUUUUAAUAACAUUCACAACUCUAUGUGUAUGUGUGUUUUAUUGUCCUUUCUUUCUUUCUUUCUUUUACUAUUAUUUUACUCGGUAUUGGUGAUUUAGAGUUUAAAAAAAAAUGAAUAAAUAAGAACAGGGGAAUGAAAUACAACUCAUAUUUUAGUGAGGAUGUUUGGGUAUAUGAUCCAAUCAUUUUGGAUUCAUAACUGAUCUUAAAACAAUCACGAUUUCAUUUUUUGCACAUAUUUUUUUGUAUGCAUAUGUGGAUUUGAGAGUUUUGAUAGGCUCAGAUAGAUUUCGGAAAGUCAUGCAGUCACAUGUUUGACUUGAAUGAUUCAUGGAAGUGAUAAAUAAUAAAUAAAUAAAAACUGAAAAGAUGAAAGAAGAAACACAUUUAUUUGUGAGAAAUGGGAUGAGAUAAUGACAAUAUCAGCCACUAUUAACAAAUCUCAGGAUUCUGGUUCCAAGCAGAUUUUUAGAGUGCCACUGGCAUUAAGAACACCAACUUUAAAUAAAAUAACAAAAAUAAAAUGUGCCGUACCUCCCACUUUCCAAGUUAGACAAAUAGAAAACACAACACGGUGUACAACUCUAAGUAUGACAAAUGAAAUGGGAAGGUACUGGAACGUUUGGAGAACACUCUGAAAAUCCAACACAGAGAGUUGUCAUGCAACAAGUUUGAAGAACACACAUUCAAUCUCAGGCAAUGGAAAUCAAACCUGAACCAUGAGUGAAGUAUCCCUCUUUCAUUCACAACAGAAUACUAAACCUGCUUACAGAUGGGAGUAAAUGAAUGAACGAAUGAAUGAACAAACAAUGAAUAAUAAAAUGGAAUCAUUCAGUGAGUGGAGGAGCAUAUUACCCACUUGGUGUCCAAUGCCAAAAUGCCUGCAAAUCUCCAGGUCAAGUCCAGCUCAUUUGGUGUUGGCUCUGGUGUGUAUAUGGGGGAGGAGAACAGGCUCUUUUUAUAUGUGCCCCACUUAUUCCACUCCACUCAUGUUGCUUUUUUAAACUUCUUUUGAUGUCCAUGGCUCUUUUUUCCUGCUAUUCGAAGCCCCUUUUUAGAGCUUCCAAAAAAACUAUGUUUGCUGUAGAGGCUCCACAUCACCUAAUUCCUUCUACCACCACUGCCACCAUUGCUACCACCACACCAUUUCUUUUUGAAUAAAAUAAUUGUUGUGCUUCCAUGGAACUGCAAUGCCUUCUGCCAUUGGAUUGGCAGAGAGUGUGUGAUCAAGACCCUCCAGAGAUGUCUAUGGCUACUGUUUUCUGUUGCACACUUGACCCACUCUUUUUAUGAGGUCAACAAAGUGUGUAGGCAAAGGGGGAGAGAAGACCCAGUUUUCAAAGUCCUCUUUUUCUUGUUUCCCUCUGUUUUGACAGAUUCAGGCUCCAUUUGGGGUUGGUGAUUAUGAAGCCUACAGCCAUUUUGCAGACACAUGCACAUGAUUACAAUGAGCUGUACUGAACAAUAACAAUGAGAGCAGGGCAGGCAGACCAGGGUUUAUAUUUCACAUGACAUGGUACUAAUCUCAAUCUUGUCAGACAAUUAUAGCAUAAACUUGGAGUUAUGUGUUCCAAGUCAAAUGCAAAUCCCCCAUCAUCUUGCCCUGUGAGGAACACAAACACAGCAAAAAGAAUACAAUAACCUUUGAGGGUGUUUGCUGUUUCAAGAGUUUGCCUGUUGGGGACCAAUUCCACUGUCCAGGACCCACUUGUAUGUUAGUAAUGUUAAAAUCAUGUUGUUAUUAUUAUU
This 4023-nucleotide long non-coding RNA is filed under the name Physcomitrium patens. RNAcentral describes it as "long non-coding RNA (PPAT_LNC000169)". The record is from RNAcentral. Lineage: Eukaryota; Viridiplantae; Streptophyta; Bryopsida; Funariales; Funariaceae.